UACGUAGGGUGCGAGCGUUGUCCGGAAUUAUUGGGCGUAAAGGGCUCGUAGGCGGUUUGUCGCGUCGGGAGUGAAAACACUGGGCUUAACUCAGUGCUUGCUUCCGAUACGGGCAGACUAGAGGUAUGCAGGGGAGAACGGAAUUCCUGGUGUAGCGGUGAAAUGCGCAGAUAUCAGGAGGAACACCGGUGGCGAAGGCGGUUCUCUGGGCAUGAUCUGACGCUGAGGAGCGAAAGUGUGGGGAGCGAACAGG
This 253-nucleotide ribosomal RNA is filed under the name uncultured bacterium. RNAcentral's name for it is "partial 16S ribosomal RNA". It matches the Rfam family "Bacterial small subunit ribosomal RNA", at positions 524 to 776 of the family's 1533-position model. The record is from RNAcentral.